RNAcentral lists this ribosomal RNA (2900 nucleotides) under Klebsiella pneumoniae. RNAcentral's name for it is "23S ribosomal RNA". It matches the Rfam family "Bacterial large subunit ribosomal RNA". Lineage: Bacteria; Pseudomonadati; Pseudomonadota; Gammaproteobacteria; Enterobacterales; Enterobacteriaceae. The record is from RNAcentral.
UUAAGCGACUAAGCGUACACGGUGGAUGCCCUGGCAGUCAGAGGCGAUGAAGGACGUGCUAAUCUGCGAAAAGCGUCGGUAAGGUGAUAUGAACCGUUAUAACCGGCGAUGUCCGAAUGGGGAAACCCAGUGUGAUUCGUCACACUAUCGUUAACUGAAUACAUAGGUUAACGAGGCGAACCGGGGGAACUGAAACAUCUAAGUACCCCGAGGAAAAGAAAUCAACCGAGAUUCCCCCAGUAGCGGCGAGCGAACGGGGAGCAGCCCAGAGUCUGAAUCAGCUUGUGUGUUAGUGGAACGGUCUGGAAAGUCCGACGGUACAGGGUGAUAGUCCCGUACACCAAAAUGCACAGGCUGUGAACUCGAAGAGUAGGGCGGGACACGUGGUAUCCUGUCUGAAUAUGGGGGGACCAUCCUCCAAGGCUAAAUACUCCUGACUGACCGAUAGUGAACCAGUACCGUGAGGGAAAGGCGAAAAGAACCCCGGCGAGGGGAGUGAAAAAGAACCUGAAACCGUGUACGUACAAGCAGUGGGAGCACCUUCGGGUGUGACUGCGUACCUUUUGUAUAAUGGGUCAGCGACUUAUAUUCUGUAGCAAGGUUAACCGUAUAGGGGAGCCGCAGGGAAACCGAGUCUUAACUGGGCGUUAAGUUGCAGGGUAUAGACCCGAAACCCGGUGAUCUAGCCAUGGGCAGGUUGAAGGUUGGGUAACACUAACUGGAGGACCGAACCGACUAAUGUUGAAAAAUUAGCGGAUGACUUGUGGCUGGGGGUGAAAGGCCAAUCAAACCGGGAGAUAGCUGGUUCUCCCCGAAAGCUAUUUAGGUAGCGCCUCGUGAACUCAUCUUCGGGGGUAGAGCACUGUUUCGGCUAGGGGGUCAUCCCGACUUACCAACCCGAUGCAAACUACGAAUACCGAAGAAUGUUAUCACGGGAGACACACGGCGGGUGCUAACGUCCGUCGUGAAGAGGGAAACAACCCAGACCGCCAGCUAAGGUCCCAAAGUCAUGGUUAAGUGGGAAACGAUGUGGGAAGGCACAGACAGCCAGGAUGUUGGCUUAGAAGCAGCCAUCAUUUAAAGAAAGCGUAAUAGCUCACUGGUCGAGUCGGCCUGCGCGGAAGAUGUAACGGGGCUAAACCAUGCACCGAAGCUGCGGCAGCGACACUAUGUGUUGUUGGGUAGGGGAGCGUUCUGUAAGCCUGCGAAGGUGACCUGUGAGGGUUGCUGGAGGUAUCAGAAGUGCGAAUGCUGACAUAAGUAACGAUAAAGCGGGUGAAAAGCCCGCUCGCCGGAAGACCAAGGGUUCCUGUCCAACGUUAAUCGGGGCAGGGUGAGUCGACCCCUAAGGCGAGGCCGAAAGGCGUAGUCGAUGGGAAACAGGUUAAUAUUCCUGUACUUGGUGUUACUGCGAAGGGGGGACGGAGAAGGCUAUGUUAGCCGGGCGACGGUUGUCCCGGUUUAAGCAUGUAGGCUGGUUGUCCAGGCAAAUCCGGAUAAUCAAGGCUGAGGUGUGAUGACGAGGCACUACGGUGCUGAAGUAACAAAUGCCCUGCUUCCAGGAAAAGCCUCUAAGCAUCAGGUAACAUUAAAUCGUACCCCAAACCGACACAGGUGGUCAGGUAGAGAAUACCAAGGCGCUUGAGAGAACUCGGGUGAAGGAACUAGGCAAAAUGGUGCCGUAACUUCGGGAGAAGGCACGCUGGUGUGUAGGUGAAGUCCCUGCGGAUGGAGCUGAGACCAGUCGAAGAUACCAGCUGGCUGCAACUGUUUAUUAAAAACACAGCACUGUGCAAACACGAAAGUGGACGUAUACGGUGUGACGCCUGCCCGGUGCCGGAAGGUUAAUUGAUGGGGUUAUCCGUAAGGAGAAGCUCUUGAUCGAAGCCCCGGUAAACGGCGGCCGUAACUAUAACGGUCCUAAGGUAGCGAAAUUCCUUGUCGGGUAAGUUCCGACCUGCACGAAUGGCGUAAUGAUGGCCAGGCUGUCUCCACCCGAGACUCAGUGAAAUUGAACUCGCUGUGAAGAUGCAGUGUACCCGCGGCAAGACGGAAAGACCCCGUGAACCUUUACUAUAGCUUGACACUGAACAUUGAGCCUUGAUGUGUAGGAUAGGUGGGAGGCUUUGAAGCGUGGACGCCAGUCUGCGUGGAGCCAACCUUGAAAUACCACCCUUUAAUGUUUGAUGUUCUAACGUUGGCCCCUUACCGGGGUUGCGGACAGUGUCUGGUGGGUAGUUUGACUGGGGCGGUCUCCUCCCAAAGCGUAACGGAGGAGCACGAAGGUUAGCUAAUCCUGGUCGGACAUCAGGAGGUUAGUGCAAUGGCAUAAGCUAGCUUGACUGCGAGCGUGACGGCGCGAGCAGGUGCGAAAGCAGGUCAUAGUGAUCCGGUGGUUCUGAAUGGAAGGGCCAUCGCUCAACGGAUAAAAGGUACUCCGGGGAUAACAGGCUGAUACCGCCCAAGAGUUCAUAUCGACGGCGGUGUUUGGCACCUCGAUGUCGGCUCAUCACAUCCUGGGGCUGAAGUAGGUCCCAAGGGUAUGGCUGUUCGCCAUUUAAAGUGGUACGCGAGCUGGGUUUAGAACGUCGUGAGACAGUUCGGUCCCUAUCUGCCGUGGGCGCUGGAGAAUUGAGGGGGGCUGCUCCUAGUACGAGAGGACCGGAGUGGACGCAUCACUGGUGUUCGGGUUGUCAUGCCAAUGGCACUGCCCGGUAGCUAAAUGCGGAAGAGAUAAGUGCUGAAAGCAUCUAAGCACGAAACUUGCCCCGAGAUGAGUUCUCCCUGAGACUUUAAGUCUCCUGAAGGAACGUUAAAGACGAUGACGUUGAUAGGCCGGGUGUGUAAGCGCAGCGAUGCGUUGAGCUAACCGGUACUAAUGAACCGUGAGGCUUAACCUU